This is a non-coding RNA of Paramuricea clavata, 689 nucleotides long. The record is from the annotation of a GenBank genome assembly. Lineage: Eukaryota; Metazoa; Cnidaria; Anthozoa; Malacalcyonacea; Plexauridae.
CACAGAGUAGAUAUACUACACAGAGGUGGAACUCAGCCAAAAAAGUGUAACCGGCCGCCAAAAGCUUAGCCAGUGCGCGAAAGAGAGGCAUUCACCCCCCCGAACUCAAAUUUCAAGAUGGCGCCCGAAUGUUUCAGAAAAUAAUCGGCACGAGAAACACUUGUUAUUUUGCUCAUAACAGUUUUCCUUUACUAAAGUUGUUAUUAACAUGUUUAUAUAAUUCGUCCUUGAAAGAUGUGUUGGUAUGAAAAACCUUUGAAGAUUAUCUACCGAUUUAUAUGGCACUAUUAUUCAUCGUAGGAGUGGAAAAUUGAAAUUCCGAAAUUACCGAGAAAUUAAUACUCAUGUGAGCCAUGUCUAAAGGAUUUAGAAGAAAUGUAAAUGGUAUAAUAACUUAUGUGCAGCUGGAUAUCGUUGUAUUUAAUAUUUUGUGAAAUACUUAGGCAGAAAUCAGUCAAGAUUUCACUAUCUGAAAUUGAAACCGCUAUUGUAGUAUAUGGCACCCUGUUUAUAAUAGUGAUAAAAAUCAUAAAACGUGAGGGAUGUUGGUUUUUUACAUUUCAAACACACUAUAUUUAAAAAAAUAUGAUGUACAUAGUUCAUAUUUAACAUCAUUCAGGUUUGCUAUUCUUUAAAUGAAUUUUGAUUAGAGUUUCUGAAUGAGAUGCCGAAACAAUGUGAAAGUUGGG